GAGGCUGCCGACUCGAGGUGAAAAUCUUGCCACCUGUUAAAAUGAAGGAGCAGAGUUGUGAAGUUAUGAAUAAUAGGAGUUCGCCUUCCACCCACUGGCCAGACGUGGGAGAGAAAGAGGACUUACUUAUCUUCUAACUGGAAGUUUGUACCUUUUGGCCACCUGCAUCCAAUUUCCGGUGCCCCCACCCUUACCUCCAGGAACCACAGAUCCCACCUCUUUUUCGUUUCCGGCUCCUUAUUCACGCCUUUGCAGCCACCCUGCCCUCCUUGUUUCCUGAACAUUCCAAGCCUGCUGCCGCCACAGGGUAUUUGCACCAGCCCCGUCCUCUCCGCUUAGACGUUGCGCAGACACCUCCUCAGGGACACCUCGGAGAGGAACUUACUGGAGAGCAUCACCCUCCCUGCACGCCUCCUCCCUUUUCGCUGAUUUAUUUGCUUCUCACAGCGUUUAUACCUGCAAACACACUGUACCACUGACCUGCUGAUGGCGUUUGUUGUCUGCCUCCCUCUGAAGGAAUCUAGGUUCUGUAAGGCAGAGAUGCUUCCUCUCCUCUUCACGGCUGUAUCCCUGAGAACAGAAUCAGACAUACAGUUGGCCCCGAGGAAUUAUUUGCUGACUUACUGAGCAUGAUUCUGUCUGAAAGACUGGCUGCACGAGGGGAACCUGGUCUCUGACUUUGAAUGAAACGGAAUUAGCAUCCGGUUGCAUAGUAGAUGGGACUGAUCUAUUCUUCCAGCUCUUUUCUCUGUGUCACAAAGGGAAAGAAUAACUCCUUUUCCCCCUGCACGCCCACUCCACAGAGAAAUGCUUUGAGACUCAAUUAAGCGGUGCCAUGGAGAACACAUUUCGAAUUUCCAGAAGAAAGCGCUGUAUUCAUUUGAGGCUUUCAUUGUGUGAAAGAGCUGUGAGUGACACAGGGCUGCAAAGCACAAAGAGCAGGACAGGGUAAAGGGAUUCCGCCGCUCACAUGUUACCUUGGCCUUUCACGGGAUCAUCGAUUUGAGACUGAAAAACGCAAAGUGGUUUAAAAAAUUUUAUCCCAGGUGACAGAUGUUUAAGAAAUACCUUCCUCUUUGUAGUCCAUUCGCAGUGAUUUAUGGCACGACACUCUCAUUCAUGAACGAGUCUCCGCUUUUACCAACUUUUGUCUAUUUUAUGGCCAUUCUCUUGCUCAUUAGAACUCCCACACCAAGGUCCGAGGGCUGGCGGGUCAGGGAGGAGCAAAAACUACAAUUUGUCCUUGUCAGGAGUUUAUUUAUCUCUCCUGUUUGUCAGGACCCAGAGGUGAGGCCAUGUGAGAAUCACAGGAUUGGAGACACACGAAAUGCAGCCAGUUCAAUGCACAAAUUGCUAGAUUAUUGCACAUGAUCAGCUCAGAGACCAGGUAGGCCAAGUGGGAAAACAGACCGGGGUAUUGAAUCACUCCGCGGAGGAGUCUGGGGAGGAGGCGGCCCGGGUCCAGCCGCCCUGGGUCCCGCAGCCCGGCUCAGGACAAGCGACAAGUCUGAGUGGGGACUCACCCUUUGCUCCAAGGGAGCCCCGGGCAGCGUCCCCAGAACAGUUUCAGCAGCACAGAGUCCAGUCCUCCUCCAAAGAGCCACCCUGCUCCGCCAUCUGGUUUUAAGAGGUCUGUCUGCGAGUUCCCGUUGUGGCUCAGGGGUUAAGGACCCGACUAGUAUCCAUAAGGAUUUGGGUCAGAUCCCUGCUUUGCUCAAUGGGUUAAGGAUCUGGCAUUGCUGUAGCUGUGGUGUAGGCCGGCAGAUGCAGCUUCAAUUCAACCCCUGGCCUGGGAACUUUCAUAUGCCGCAGGUGCAGCCC
RNAcentral lists this long non-coding RNA (1821 nucleotides) under Sus scrofa (pig). Its description in RNAcentral is "lncRNA (ENSSSCG00000046498.2)". The record is from RNAcentral. Lineage: Eukaryota; Metazoa; Chordata; Mammalia; Artiodactyla; Suidae.